AAAUUGAAGAGUUUGAUCAUGGCUCAGAUUGAACGCUGGCGGCAGGCCUAACACAUGCAAGUCGAACGGUAACAGGAAGCAGCUUGCUGCUUCGCUGACGAGUGGCGGACGGGUGAGUAAUGUCUGGGAAACUGCCUGAUGGAGGGGGAUAACUACUGGAAACGGUAGCUAAUACCGCAUAAUGUCGCAAGACCAAAGAGGGGGACCUUCGGGCCUCUUGCCAUCGGAUGUGCCCAGAUGGGAUUAGCUUGUUGGUGGGGUAACGGCUCACCAAGGCGACGAUCCCUAGCUGGUCUGAGAGGAUGACCAGCCACACUGGAACUGAGACACGGUCCAGACUCCUACGGGAGGCAGCAGUGGGGAAU
This 365-nucleotide ribosomal RNA is filed under the name Shigella sonnei. RNAcentral describes it as "bacterial SSU rRNA". It matches the Rfam family "Bacterial small subunit ribosomal RNA", at positions 1 to 362 of the family's 1533-position model. Lineage: Bacteria; Pseudomonadati; Pseudomonadota; Gammaproteobacteria; Enterobacterales; Enterobacteriaceae. The record is from RNAcentral.